GUUUUAAUAAAAAAUAUUUAAGAAGUGUCAGAGCUUUUAGGGAUAUAUAAAUUUCUUGACAUCAUACCAGCUCUAGUUUUUGAAUGUAUUUAUCUGUGUCUUGAGGAUGUGUUUUAUGGCAAACUAUAGCUUUUUGGGGAGGGGGGUAAGGGUGGAAAUAUUACAGACCAAACAAAAAAAAAAAAAAAAACAAAAAAACACCCACACAACAAAAAAAUAGCAAGCUAGUUAAUAGGUUAUUGCUCUACAUUGCUGUAAAUUGUUUUUUGUUGUUCAUUAACAUUAUCCACCUUCAAAACCUUUGCAUCCUCCAGACCAAGGUUUCACUGCAAGAAAUCUUUCAGAAAGAAAGACUUCAGAUGGCUAUGGGAUGUCAGAGCUCAAAUAUCUCAUGGUCCUUGUAUUUGCAAAGAAUAAACCAACAACGGGCAAACAUGCAAAGACCAUCUGUCUUCCACUCUGGAUAAAUCACUUGGAACUAAAGAGUGUUUCUUUGGUUUCCUUUUUUUUAAGAUCUUAUACUAGCUUUUCUUUUCAAGUGUGUUUUGAAGAGGAGGCCAUCAUCAGGGAGUUUGGUAAGACUUUUCCCGGGGAUUUAAGAAUUAAGAAUAGCUGAUGGAAUAUCCUGGGAACUCUGUUUCAUCGCGGAAUAUUUUGUGCG
RNAcentral lists this long non-coding RNA (661 nucleotides) under Zonotrichia albicollis (white-throated sparrow). RNAcentral describes it as "lncRNA (ENSZALG00000014112.1)". Lineage: Eukaryota; Metazoa; Chordata; Aves; Passeriformes; Passerellidae. The record is from RNAcentral.